UGUAAGCGCCAAUGUCAAAUCCUACUGUUAUAUCGCCUCCAUUUGUUUCCCUUUCGACACCCUUUUUGCCAAAUUAUGCUCCUGAUCACUCCCAUUCAUAUUUUUAGAGUAACUGCUAAUUGAGCGCAAUGAUAACUUUAUCGAGCCUACUUUUCAGUGUUAAGUCAUUUGCAUUGUAGCUUACAGAAUCAAAGUAAACCGGGUGAAGUGUUGUGACUUGGGCUUUCCGGUCCAAGUUAAAUUAUGGACUUUAUGGUGCAGAAUUUAGUGAUUUGUAAGGCAAGUCCACAAAAAUGUCACUAGUUGUUAGGUGGUGUCUGUGAUGUACAUGCGGAAUAGGCAAUAAACAUGAAUAUGAAAUGCAACAGAAUGCUUUAUGCAAUAAAGUUGAUAACCAACAACAUGCCAACAACAUGCUCGGCUUCCUACGAUGUAAUCUUCAGAAAACUUCUAGAGAGACCAAGACAAAUGCAUAUAUCUCGUAACAUCUAUUUU
RNAcentral lists this small RNA (495 nucleotides) under Spisula solidissima (Atlantic surf clam). Its description in RNAcentral is "cnRNA298". Lineage: Eukaryota; Metazoa; Mollusca; Bivalvia; Venerida; Mactridae. The record is from RNAcentral.